Molecule: transfer RNA, 90 nt
Filed under: Phycisphaerae bacterium
Lineage: Bacteria; Pseudomonadati; Planctomycetota; Phycisphaerae
Description: tRNA-Ser
Rfam family: tRNA
About the family: Transfer RNA (tRNA) molecules are approximately 80 nucleotides in length. Their secondary structure includes four short double-helical elements and three loops (D, anti-codon, and T loops). Further hydrogen bonds mediate the characteristic L-shaped molecular structure. tRNAs have two regions of fundamental functional importance: the anti-codon, which is responsible for specific mRNA codon recognition, and the 3' end, to which the tRNAs corresponding amino acid is attached (by aminoacyl-tRNA synthetases). tRNAs cope with the degeneracy of the genetic code in two manners: having more than one tRNA (with a specific anti-codon) for a particular amino acid; and 'wobble' base-pairing, i.e. permitting non-standard base-pairing at the 3rd anti-codon position.
Source: RNAcentral
GGAGGGGUGGCCGAGUGGUCUAUGGCGGCGGUCUUGAAAACCGCUGUGCCCGCAAGGGUACCGGGGGUUCGAAUCCUCUCCCCUCCGCCA